UUGACCUCGGAUCAGGUAGGAUUACCCGCUGAACUUAAGCAUAUCAAUAAGCGGAGGAAAAGAAACCAACAGGGAUUGCCUCAGUAACGGCGAGUGAAGCGGCAACAGCUCAGAUUUGGAAUCUGGUCCCUUGGGGCCCGAGUUGUAAUCUGGAGAGGAUGCUUCUGGCGCGGCGCCGUCCGAGUUCCCUGGAACGGGACGCCGGAGAGGGUGAGAGCCCCGUACGGUCGGACGCCUAGCCUGUGUGAAGCUCCUUCGACGAGUCGAGUAGUUUGGGAAUGCUGCUCAAAAUGGGAGGUAAAUUUCUUCUAAAGCUAAAUACCGGCCAGAGACCGAUAGCGCACAAGUAGAGUGAUCGAAAGAUGAAAAGCACUUUGAAAAGAGGGUCAAACAGUACGUGAAAUUGUUGAAAGGGAAG
Molecule: ribosomal RNA, 418 nt
Filed under: Leptographium sagmatosporum
Lineage: Eukaryota; Fungi; Ascomycota; Sordariomycetes; Ophiostomatales; Ophiostomataceae
Description: eukaryotic LSU rRNA
Rfam family: Eukaryotic large subunit ribosomal RNA
Source: RNAcentral